AUGAAGCUUAAGAUCAACAAGGCGUGCGACCUCGCCUCCAUCUCCGUCCUCCCUCCCCGGAGGACCAGAGGGAGCAGCGGUGGCGGUGGUGGUGGCGGGACGAGCGCGCCUGCUGCUGCUUCCGCGGCUCAGCAGCAGCGGUCCCAGUCGAUGUCGCAGAAGUCCUUCUCGCAAGGCAUCGGCGCGUCCUUCUCACAGGGCAUAGGCAGCGGAGGCGCGUCCUUCUCCCAGGGCAGCGGCGGCGGAGGCGCCGCGUUCUCUCAGGGCGGUGGAGGCGGAGGCGCGGCGUUCUCUCAGGGCGGAGGUGGCGGAGGCGCGGCUUUCUCUCAGGGCGGAGGUGGCGGAGGCGCGUCCUUCUCGCAGGGCGGUGGCAGCGCGUCCCUCUUGCACGCGCAGUCGCAGCUCUCGCAGGCCUCCCUCGACGAGAGCCUCCUCAGCCUCCUCUCGCAGGCCCCCGCUCGCGACCAGAGAUUUGCCAUGCAAGAGGACCCGUCGAAGCGGAUGUCUUCGUAUCUUGCCAGUUCAGCUUCUUCGUGUAUGCGCGACGAAUCUCAGCUGCAACUUGCAAAAAUACCAACCAACCCUAUCCACCGCUGGAGCCCCUCUUUUCUGGAUAGCAGAUGUCAGGUUAAUGAGGAUGUUGAGCGCAAAUUUCUGCAUCUGGCAAGUUCAGUACAGAAGAUGGGAAUGAUAUUAGACUCAGUGCAAAAUGAUGUGAUGCAGUUAAACAGAGGCAUGAAGGAGGCAUCACUAGACUCUGGUAGCAUUCAGAAAAAGUUUGUGCUCCUAGAGGACUCUCUAAAGCAAAUUCUUAAGGGACAAGAUGAUCUCAAAGCACUCCUCAAGGGAAGCACGAAAAGUAAUCCUGACCAGCUGGGUAUUCUCACCCGCAAACUGGAUGAGAUAUCCUCGAUACUUUCAGUCUUGCCAAAGCAAGUUCAAACAGAAUUCGAGCAAUUCAAGGGUGACAUCUUUAGAUUUUUUACAAAAGAGAUGGAGGGGGUCGUUAGAGCUGUCAGAUCUCUCGAUAGUAGGCUGCCCGGUGUGAUGCAAAUGCUGGCAGACCAGAGCUGCACCACCAAUGCAAAACCCCUGAUGAACCACACAGCAGCAGAAAAUGAAAGCCCCCUGAUGAACCAGACACAAGUAGCAGAAGGAAGCCCCCUGAUGAACCAAGGACCAGUAGCAGACAGAAGGCCGCAGAAGAAACCGACGGCAGUAGCAAAUGGAAGGCCCAAGAGGAAGAACCAAACAGCAGUAGCAAAUGGAAGGCCCCAGAGGAAGAACCAAGCAGCUGGAGCAAAUUGGAGGCCCCACAGGAAGAAACCAACAGAAAUAGCAGCAAAUUCAAGGCCCCAGAGGCACCUCACACGAGUGGCAAAUGGAAGGCCCCAGGUGAAACAAACAGAAGCAGCAGAUGGAAGGUCGCAGACGAACCAGAAACCCGAGGCAAAUGGGAAAGCCCUGAUACCAGUAACAAAACCCAUUCCUGUGCCCGUGGUUUAUCAUCGAAAGGCGGUUGAUCUGAAGCCAAGGGUGGAACAGUGGAUGGUACCGAAACUGGCUGGCCCAAGCUACAGCAGGCCAGCGCCACCUAAAGAGCAAGAGUUGGCCAUUCAGAAGGUCAAUACAGAGGCGCCAAUCAACAAGAUGCAGGCGACGCUGGGCAUUCUAAUCGACUCGGACGACGACGGCGACUACGAGGGGGCUGACAGCGACUGGAGCGCCUCCUGCGUGAUCCUGAAGUUGGAAGCAGGGUGUCCGGGUGAUGAGGUGGUGGCGGAGGAGGCGACGAGCGAGGGGGAGGGGGAGGCGCUAGAGAUCCUGAGGCGGGCGAGGAAGCGGCGGCGGAGGGAGGCCAACGCCAACGCCAACGCCACCGUGCUCGUCCAAGACCAACGCUGA
RNAcentral lists this ribosomal RNA (1905 nucleotides) under Triticum aestivum (bread wheat). Its description in RNAcentral is "partial small subunit ribosomal RNA". The record is from RNAcentral. Lineage: Eukaryota; Viridiplantae; Streptophyta; Magnoliopsida; Poales; Poaceae.